Molecule: ribosomal RNA, 140 nt
Filed under: Eurythenes gryllus
Lineage: Eukaryota; Metazoa; Arthropoda; Malacostraca; Amphipoda; Lysianassidae
Description: partial 16S large subunit ribosomal RNA
Source: RNAcentral
AAAAGCUUUAUUAGAGUAUGUGUAUUUAUAUAGUAAAAAGUUAACUUUGCUGGGGUAGUAACUUUAUGGAAAUUGAAGUUUAAUAAACAUAAAUGUGGGUCUAGGUCUUAUUUAUAAUAAAAAAUUGAGUUAGUUACUUU